RNAcentral lists this microRNA precursor (96 nucleotides) under Marmota monax (woodchuck). The record is from RNAcentral. Lineage: Eukaryota; Metazoa; Chordata; Mammalia; Rodentia; Sciuridae.
AGUAGAAUUACUGACUCAGAUGAUAUGUUAGUCUUUUAGAGAACUCCCAGAAUGUUUUCCAAAGCAGCUGCACCAUAUUAUAUUCCCACCAUCAGU